Molecule: ribosomal RNA, 441 nt
Filed under: uncultured bacterium
Lineage: Bacteria
Description: partial 16S ribosomal RNA
Rfam family: Bacterial small subunit ribosomal RNA
Source: RNAcentral
CCUACGGGUGGCAGCAGUGGGGAAUAUUGCACAAUGGGGGGAACCCUGAUGCAGCGACGCCGCGUGAGUGAAGAAGUACUUCGGCAUGUAAAGCCCUAUCAGCAGGGAAGAAGCAAGACGGUACCUGACUAAGAAGCCCCGGCUAACUACGUGCCAGCAGCCGCGGUAAUACGUAGGGGGCGAGCGUUAUCCGGAUUCACUGGGUGUAAAGGGAGCGUAGACGGCCAUGCAAGCCAGGAGUGAAAGCCCAGGGCCCAACCCCGGGACUGCCUUUGGAACUGCAGGGCUGGAGUGCGGGAGGGGCAGGUGGAAUUCCUGGUGUAGCGGUGAAAUGCGUAGAUAUUAGGAGGAACACCAGUGGCGAAGGCGGCUUGCUGGACCGCGACUGACGUUGAGGCUCGAAAGCGUGGGGAGCGAACAGGAUUAGAUACCCUAGUAGUC